AUGUACAUGCCUACAACAUAGCGUUAAUGCACCGGAUCCCAUUAGAACUCUAUAUUUGAGCGUGCUCAGGCUAGAGUAGUACUGGGAUGGGUGACCGCUUGGGAAGUCCUAGUAUUUUACAUA
This is a non-coding RNA of Picea glauca (white spruce), 123 nucleotides long. The record is from Rfam. Lineage: Eukaryota; Viridiplantae; Streptophyta; Pinopsida; Pinales; Pinaceae.